Molecule: ribosomal RNA, 1058 nt
Filed under: Psychrobacter sp. 687CH
Lineage: Bacteria; Pseudomonadati; Pseudomonadota; Gammaproteobacteria; Moraxellales; Moraxellaceae
Description: bacterial SSU rRNA
Rfam family: Bacterial small subunit ribosomal RNA
Source: RNAcentral
UAGAGUUUGAUUAUGGCUCAGAUUGAACGCUGGCGGCAGGCUAAACACAUGCUAGUCGUGCGCCUAACAGGAGAAGCUUGCUUCUCGCUGACGAGCGGCGGACGGGUGAGUAAUACUUAGGAAUCUACCUAGUAGUGGGGGAUAGCUCGGGGAUACUCGAAUUAAUACCGCAAACGACCUACGGGAGAAAGGGGGCAACUUGUUGCUCUCGCUAUUAGAUGAGCCUAAGUCGGAUUAGCUAGAUGGUGGGGUAAAGGCCUACCAUGGCGACGAUCUGUAGCUGGUCUGAGAGGAUGAUCAGGGACACCGGGACUGAGACACGGCCCGGACUCCUACGGGAGGCAGCAGUGGGGAAUAUUGGACAAUGGGGGCAACCCUGAUCCAGCCAUGCCGCGUGUGUGAAGAAGGCCUUUUGGUUGUAAAGCACUUUAAGCAGUGAAGAAGACUCUAUGGUUAAUACCCAUAGACGAUGACAUUAGCUGCAGAAUAAGCACCGGCUAACUCUGUGCCAGCAGCCGCGGUAAUACAGAGGGUGCAAGCGUUAAUCGGAAUUACUGGGCGUAAAGCGAGCGUAGGUGGCUUGAUAAGUCAGAUGUGAAAGCCCCGGGCUUAACCUGGGAACGGCAUCUGAUACUGUUAGGCUAGAGUAGGUGAGAGGAAGGUAGAAUUCCAGGUGUAGCGGUGAAAUGCGUAGAGAUCUGGAGGAAUACCGAUGGCGAAGGCAGCCAACUGGCAUCAUACUGUUUCUGAGGUUCGAAAGCGUGGGUAGCAAUCAGGAUUAGAUACCCUGGUAGUCCACGCCGUAAACGAUGUCUACUAGUCGUUGGGUCCCUUGAGGACUUAGUGACGCAGCUAACGCAAUAAGUAGACCGCCUGGGGAGUACGGCCGCAAGGUUAAAACUCAAAUGAAUUGACGGGGGCCCGCACAAGCGGUGGAGCAUGUGGUUUAAUUCGAUGCAACGCGAAGAACCUUACCUGGUCUUGACAUAUCUAGAAUCCUGCAGAGAUGCGGGAGUGCCUUCGGGAAUUAGAAUACAGGUGCUGCAUGGCUGUCGUCA